AGAGUCUUGAGAAUUAAAGUCAUUGAUUAAAAUAGAUAUAACUUGGAAGAUAAGUUAGAUAUGCGAUCCAUUUUGCCAUUUCAAUUAUUCUUCCGAUGGUCUAUUUUGGUAGCACCUAAGCGUGUUUAACCAUAGAAUAUGGUUUGACGAAUUUAUAAUAAAAAUGACGACGUAUAGGUAAUCAAGACAAGGCGUAUUUUUACAUUUCUUUCAUCAUUUGGAAUAUGUGAAGCCCAGUUUGAUAUAUGACCUCUUGUGCUUUCCAUAUGAUAUUUCCUUUAUUCUUUCAAUGGGUUCUUGCGAUAUCACCCAAAGAGUGUUUGGAAAGUGACUCUAAUCAACGGGACUAAUUUAUUCCGCUUUGUAACUGAAGAAUAUAAUUACUUUUUGACGGAAUACUUUAGAACCAGCCCGAAUAGUUUCACCAGGUAAAGGCUACGUACUAUUAGACUAAUACAUCUGGUUUGUAUUUAUGGAUGGAUGAUAUUGUAUUUAUGGAUCGAUUAUAUAGUACUUUAUUUUAUUUGUAGAGAGAACCAACUUACGAUGAUAUAAAUAAGCUGACCUAUAUGGAACAAGUUAUUAUGGAGACACUUAGAAUUAACCCACCAGUUAUUACGUAUACGUAUGUGCAUUAUUCUAAAGGCAGACAACCUGGACGCUCAUGUGACCAGUCCUAGAUAUGUCACGCAUUUAAUCCUGCAAUAUAUGUUUACCUGAGAGUAUGACGCUUCUUGAAACCAGACAAAUAAAAUGAUAGACCAAAAAUGUUUAUAAACCAUGGGUAUGGGAAAUUGUUAACUCGAAAAAUAAACACCAUUUCAAAGCAGACGGUAAUUCAGACACAGCACGUGUCUGCAUAUUAUGAAGCAUACUGAACAUCAAAAGCAACAUGAAUUACAUUUGACAAACGUUUUAAAUCUCAGUUAUUCAUCAGUGUAUUUCUCAAAACAUAUUUCCAGUGCAAAUCGUAAAGCUUCAACAGACGUUGAUAUCAAAGGCGUUCAUAUCCCGAAAGAUGCGAUGGUGAUGAUUCCUAUCUAUAGCAUCCAGCAUGAUCCAAAGAACUAUGAAAAUCCCGAGGAAUUCAGACCAGAAAGAUUUGACGCUGCUACACGACAAGAAAGUAACCCGAUUACAUUUUUGCCAUUUGGCUACGGACCAAGGUUGUGUAUUGGAAUGAGAUUGGCUUUGCUGGAGACUAAAAUAGCACUUGUGUGCUUACUUAGAAGGGUUCGAUUUGCUAAAUGUUCUGAAACACCAGACAAACUAAAUUUUAAAACUGUUGGUAUUCCGUCCACAAAAGAUCCAAUGAAACUUGCUGUAGAACUGGUUCCCAAGCAAAACUUUUAGGCCUUUUGGGAAUAAAUGGAAAACAGAAUAGUACUUGUUAGUGUAAUUAUAAUUUCUGUCACAUUGGAAGUCACGUUUUUUGCUCCGAAUACGCUGGAUAGAGAAAUAUUUUAAUUGUGAAUAUGCCAUAAGUCUUUAAAAUGGCUAAACCGUGUUAAUAGGGUCAAAAAUAAAAUUAUCGAUUUUCUUUGCUUUCCUACAUUGAAUUUUCUUGUGGAAUGACAAUAAUAUGUCUUCUUUGAGAAUUUUACAUGAAAAUGUAAAGCCUAUCUUAAAAUAUAUGUAUAACCGAUUGUGUGUUCUACUGUUGACAUGGUAAGCUAAAAUUAGU
Patella vulgata (common limpet) is the source of this 1684-nucleotide long non-coding RNA. RefSeq lists it as uncharacterized. The record is from RefSeq and is a predicted model, not a curated record. The transcript is spliced from 3 exons. Lineage: Eukaryota; Metazoa; Mollusca; Gastropoda; Patellidae.